UACGUAGGUCCCGAGCGUUGUCCGGAUUUAUUGGGCGUAAAGCGAGCGCAGGUGGUUUAUUAAGUCUGGUGUAAAAGGCAGUGGCUCAACCAUUGUAUGCAUUGGAAACUGGUAGACUUGAGUGCAGGAGAGGAGGGUGGAAUUCCAUGUGUAGCGGUGAAAUGCGUAGAUAUAUGGAGGAACACCGGUGGCGAAAGCGGCUCUCUGGCCUGUAACUGACACUGGGGCUCGAAAGCGUGGGGAGCAAACAGG
RNAcentral lists this ribosomal RNA (252 nucleotides) under uncultured bacterium. Its description in RNAcentral is "partial 16S ribosomal RNA". It matches the Rfam family "Bacterial small subunit ribosomal RNA", at positions 524 to 776 of the family's 1533-position model. The record is from RNAcentral.